UGGGGAAUAUUGCACAAUGGAGGGAACUCUGAUGCAGCGACGCCGCGUGAACGAAGAAGGCUUUCGAGUCGUAAAGUUCUUUUAUAUGGGAAGAUAAUGACGGUACCAUAAGAAGAAGCCCCGGCUAACUACGUGCCAGCAGCCGCGGUAAUACGUAGGGGGCUAGCGUUGUCCGGAAUCACUGGGCGUAAAGGGUUCGCAGGCGGAAAUGCAAGUCAGGUGUAAAAGGCAGUAGCUUAACUACUGUAAGCAUUUGAAACUGCAUAUCUUGAGAAGAGUAGAGGUAAGUGGAAUUUUUAGUGUAGCGGUGAAAUGAGUAGAUAUUAAAAAGAAUACCGGUGGCGAAGGCGACUUACUGGGCUCAUUCUGACGCUGAGGAACGAAAGCGUGGGUAGCAAACAGG
Molecule: ribosomal RNA, 403 nt
Filed under: bacterium
Lineage: Bacteria
Description: partial 16S ribosomal RNA
Rfam family: Bacterial small subunit ribosomal RNA
Source: RNAcentral